Molecule: long non-coding RNA, 1511 nt
Filed under: Gouania willdenowi (blunt-snouted clingfish)
Lineage: Eukaryota; Metazoa; Chordata; Actinopteri; Blenniiformes; Gobiesocidae
Description: lncRNA (ENSGWIG00000020654.1)
Source: RNAcentral
GACUUUGGUUGCCAGGUGGCUCUUCAGAUAACAGUGAUUAUAUAAAUGAUCAGUGAACAAUGUGUCCAGCCUUAAUGAUCUCUAAGGUUUUAUUUGUUUGUAUUACAGUAUUAGAGGUUAUUUGUGUGACAUGAAGCCUUUAAACAAUGUGUCAAACUCAAGGUCCGGGGACCGAAUGUGGUGAAAUAUAAUUCUUUAUUUUUCUGUUUUUCUGCUAACUAUUUUCUGUUUUGUAAUAAUAAUAAUAAUAAUAAUUCUACAAUUAUUGGAUUUAUAUAUUUUAUAUUUUUGAGGAGAUUUAAAGUGUGUUACAAAAACCACUAUUCAUUCACAGCAGUCAUACCGGUGGUGGUAAGCUACAAUGUAGCCACACACACACACACACACACACACACACACACACACACACACACACACACACACACACACACACACACACACACACACACACACACACACACACACAGAGAGAGAGAGACACACACACAGAGACACACACACACACAGACAGACAGACAGACAGAUAGACACGCACACACACACACACACACGUCUCUGAUUGUGUUUCAGGGUCGUUGUCUUCUGAACAUGUGACCUCAAAAAACACAAAGCACCUGUGUAAGCUCCGCCCCCCCAUGCAGGUAACAUUUCAACAUUUCAGUGUAACACACGUUCAUCAUCAGCAGAACAUCACGGACCGACAGAACCAUGAAGAGGAUGAGGAGACUGUUCACUAAGGAUGUUGAUCCUCCUGAGGUGAACCGACCUUCGACCCCGGAAAUGAAAAAUGAAGCAAAGCAAAGUUCGUUAGUGGAUGUGGAGAUACAGAAAGUAGUCCUCCGACCAAUGGAUGAUCAGCUCUCAGACAUCAGACAGCGCAAACACCUGAGUGGCUCUCUGUACUGGGCUCCACCCCCUGCUGUCGUGUGUCAGGGCCCAGGUCCUGGUCACAUGACCAGCGUGUCUCUCCCCUCCUCCCCACUCAUGGGGGUAAGGGAGAGGCAGCCCUCCUCCCUGUCGCGCCUGUGGGUGGAGGCGGCUCUGCACAGGAUCAAUCAGAGGCCUCAGCUUAGCCCCUCCCCUCAGGUGAGGGCGCGGUCCAGGUACUGUCAGCUGACACCGUGCGCCUGCCGCAGGUGUCCCAGCGCGCCUCCAUAUGAAGACGCUCACCUGAGAACAGAUGAAGGCCACGCCCCUGAGGCUGACCACGCCCAUUCGACAGGCGGACUCUACCCCAGUCUGAGUCUGUGUGGGUUUACUAAUGACCCUCAGGUGAGACUGGGAACAUAAGGAUUAAUUAAUCAUUUAAAAACGAUGAUUAAUGACAGGAUCAGAUUACUAGUUAUAAUAACCAGUUACUAGUUACCACUUUAUUUUAUUAUUAGUAACUAAUGCUAACUAAUGCUGUGUUUCAGGUCUGACGGCUUCGUUGGAUCAAACAAUACAAACUUUUGGUUUCAAAUCCUUCAUUUUCACAAUAAAAGCCUCUUGAUUUAAAAGCUGACGGACCA